RNAcentral lists this unclassified non-coding RNA (198 nucleotides) under plant metagenome. Its description in RNAcentral is "partial contains small subunit ribosomal RNA and internal transcribed spacer 1". The stretch from base 1 to 46 matches the Rfam family "Eukaryotic small subunit ribosomal RNA", at positions 1786 to 1831 of the family's 1831-position model. The record is from RNAcentral.
AAGUCGUAACAAGGUCUCCGUAGGUGAACCUGCGGAGGGAUCAUUACCAAAGAUGGCGGGCCUCCGGGCCCCGCUCCCCAACCCUUUGUUGACCAAAACCCUUUUGCCCCGGGGGCAGAGCGUCCGCCGCCGCCCCCCGGACGGACCGACCGCAACAGCUGUCUCUUUACGUCGGAGUAUUGAUUAAAAAAAUGAAAA